GAUGAACGCUGGCGGCGUGCUUAACACAUGCAAGUCGAACGGAAAGGCCAGUGCUUGCUCCGGUGCUCGAGUGGCGAACGGGUGAGUAACACGUGUGUAACCUGCCCUGCACUUUGGGAUAAGCCAGGGAAACUGGGCCUAAUACCAGAUAGGACCCUACUUUGGAUGGUGUGGAGGAAAGUUUUUUCGGUGUGGGAUGGGCUUGCGGCCUUGCAGCUUGUUGUAGGGGUCAUGGCCUACCAAGGCGUCGACGGGUAGCCGGCCUGAGAGGGUGUACGGACACAGUGGGACUGAGAGAGGGGCCGGAGGCGGAAGGGAGGCAGCAGGGGGGAAUAUUGGACAAAGGGCGCAAGCCUGAUGCAAGGAGGCCGCGGGGGGGAAGACGGCCUUCGGGCUGAAAACUCCGUUCGCAACUGACAAAGCGUUUUGUGACGGUAGGUUGAAAAGAAGCAACGGCUAACUACGUG
Molecule: ribosomal RNA, 467 nt
Filed under: uncultured bacterium
Lineage: Bacteria
Description: partial 16S ribosomal RNA
Rfam family: Bacterial small subunit ribosomal RNA
Source: RNAcentral